UGCCCCGUGGGGUAAGUGGCAGCCCGCAGGAUUUUGGUUCCUGAAGUUCUGGUUCGAAUCCAGGCGGGGCAG
Molecule: transfer RNA, 72 nt
Filed under: Actinomycetota bacterium
Lineage: Bacteria; Bacillati; Actinomycetota
Description: tRNA-Gln
Rfam family: tRNA
About the family: Transfer RNA (tRNA) molecules are approximately 80 nucleotides in length. Their secondary structure includes four short double-helical elements and three loops (D, anti-codon, and T loops).
Source: RNAcentral